GCGGGAACGAGUGCGUGGAAACAGGGGCUGCGGGAAGGCCAGCUCUUCCCUCCCAGACGCCGCUCCCAAACACCAGCUCGUAACUGGGCCUGGCGGCGAUAUUUCCACGGCUGGUCCGAUGCCUGUCUCAUUUUGGGCAGGCAGCUCUGCGAAGCCUGAUUCCUUGAAAGCAAAGCCUGACACAGGGGCCUUUACAUAGGCAGUUUGUUUGGGAGGUGAUUCCAAGCUGCAGAAAUGACAGUGGGAGAGAGUGAUGAUUAGCAGAAGAAGGAAAGGCAACAGGAGGAAGCUGCAUCCGUGCAGCUGCUGCUGCGGCCGUGCGGGCUCCGUUCUGCUGGACGUCCCGAGAUGCCCACCCCCAGGAAUCGCCCACAGGGAGGCUGGGGGCCAGAGCACUUAUUCAUGGCGAAGGGCUGUCCUGGGGGUAUAAAUGUUUCCUCCACUCCUCCUUUGAGCUGCGUGCCUGAAUUCCCUGGGCUCCUGUCUAUCUCUGAGGCUUACCAGCAGGGCCCAGUGGAAGAUGAAAACGUGCUGAAAGUUAUUAAGAAUUUCAAGGUGAUGACAGCAGGGCAUCGAGCCACGCGUGGGCCUGCGUGGCUGUCCAGAUCCCAUAGAAUGUUCAGGUCAUUUUCAGAUACUCAGGAGUUCAGUGCUGUCUUCGGUCAAAAUCCAAGCUUGCGUCUGCUCACUGCCCGGCCUGGCGGGGCCGGGAGCCCUGCAGAGACCUGCGUCUCUCCUGCGUCUCCCUGGUGGCCUCCGUGUCUUCCUCACUCUACAGGUCGUGUUGGCCCCUUCGGGGAGCGAGGCGGUGGUGGAGAAGGUCUCCCUGCUUGACGGUACAGAUGCGACUGGGCGCAAGCGCCCUCUGUGCUGAGACCCCAGGGCUCCUCUUCCUCCCAAGGGGCCCCCCCUUCCUCCCAAGGGGCCCCCCUGGGUUCCUUGGAGCCCCUCCCACUGGGGACAGCCACCUGCGGUUUUCUGGUGUGGGUGUCGCCGUCCUCCCAGCCCACGGCUGGCGUUCACCUCGGUCCUCUUCUGCUGACGUCGCCCACCCUGCACCGCCCCCACUCCAGGGGCCCCCUUGGAUAGAGGGGCUUCCAAGCCAUGGAAAUGAGGCAUCAAGCCGGGGUUCUCCCUUAGGGUCUGUGUUCGGACCUGGGGAAACCUGUCUUUCCUUCCCGCCUUUGGUACGAUUCACCCCAACUCAGUUUUCUCUUCCAUCUGCCAACACAGCCCUCCCCGACCCCAAGCCAGGGACGGCUUCCUUCCUUCAGACUUUCUUCCAGAUGUGAGUCAGAAGCCAGUUCCACACUCUUCCCCAACCCGAGGGACGUGUGUCCAAGCCGCUGGGAGCGUCUCGCAAGCUCAUCCAGGCUGGCCUGAGCAGCGGAGAGCUCGGAGGGCACUCCACCCAGGGCUGUUCCAGAGACGCCUCCCCUCUGUGGCUCCUUCCUAGGGGGAGCCUUCGCCUUCCCUGCCAUCUGGAAGGCGGCGAGAGGCCAAUGCCACAUGGGGAAUUCCCUGAGCCUCUGUCUAGGUCUGGGGUGCUGACGCCUGCUGCACGGGGCGAGAGGCUGGCAGGAGCCGGGGCGGUAAGGUCGUCCCACCUAGAGCCCUGCGGCACACGCGCUGCCCUGCGCAGCCUGGGGCCCCGUGGACUGAGGGCCCCAGUUCGCAUGUUGAAGCCCUGCGCACCCCCCAUGUGACUGUAUUUGGGGGUGGGCUUAUCACAGAAGUAAUCAGGGUCAGAUGAGGUCAUAAGGGUGGGGACAUGAUCCAGUAGGAUUAGUGUCCUUGUAAGAAGAGGCGACAGGGCUCUCUGUCUCUGCCGUGGGAGGACACGUUAGAAGGCGGCUGUCUGCAAGCCCGGAAGGGCGCCCUCGCCAGGAGCCAGACCUGCCAGCACCUGGUCCUGGACUUCCAGCCCCUGGGAGUGUGAGGAGUGACUGACACUGCCGAGGUCACCCAGUCUGCGGGGGCUGUCCCCAGCUGACAGGGAAAAGGACUCCGCUCGUUCCCCAGUGCUGCCCUCUUGGAUGUGGGCAUCUUCCGUCUCUUCACCCUCCCCCAGGAGACCCGAAUGUGCUCGCUCGCCUCUCGGAAUGGAAUCUAGUUUGUUCACAGAGCGGAGUCGCACCUGCCACAGGGACCGAGCUGCAGCACGAGGUGGAAACUGGAUGCACCUGUCAGUCUUGGAACGCACUGUGAUCUCUCGUGAAGUGGAAGGAUGGGGCGCGAGCCUCCAUGCUGUGUGCCUGGACGGCGGGUGCGGAGUUCACACUGACAACUCUCUUCAUCGCCUUUUCUUCCGAUUCAGCCCUUUGUUCCCACAUCCAUUGAUGUAUUCAGAACUGCUUACUGAUCUUAAAGCCUCUCCUCACACGAUCUUGACUAAUUAAAAGGGGAAAACAGAACCUGCAUGGUGGAGAAACCUGGCAGACACCAGCGACCGCAGGUGGCAUCUCAGCAACAAGUCAGUGAGCACCAUGCCCCGCCCGGGAGGACGCACUGAGGACACGGCGAGACUGUCACAUUCUCGCUCAAAAUGCACAUCCUCCACCUGACCUUGAGAAAACACCGGGCAGACCCAGCUGAGGAACAGUCUAUAACUACUAACCAGAACUCUUCAAAAGCAUCUACGUGGUGAAGGACAAAGACCGCGGAGUUAUCUCACAGCUGGGUGGGGACUAAGGAGACGUUUCGGCUGAAUGCGACGUGGGGUCUUGGGUGGGAUUCUGGGUCUGAUCCUGAGCCGACUCUGCUGUGUGUAUGUGUUUCCCGCACCACCCAGCGAUUGCCUCCGUUCUGACACUGCCUGCCUGGGGACAGUUAAGCCCGACAGGACUGCCCCCACCCCCUUCAGAUGCCACUUGCAAAGCCGGGUUGUCCCCUGUGCCUCAGCCCUACAGGCUGUAGACUGAAGGCUGCCAGGACCCCCUCCUCAGGUCCCAUUAAUUUGCUAGAGCGGCUCUCAGAACUCAGAGAAGCACUGACUUGUGUUUGCUGAGUUAGCAUAGAAGGUUGUCACGUGACUCGGGAACAGUCAGGUGGGAGAGACGCAGCAGGUAAGAUACGGGGAAAGGGCGAGCAUCUCCGGCGCGCCCUGAGCCCCCGCCGCCCCCAGGUCUCCACGUGGUCACCAACACAGAGGCUCUCCUAGCCCCGGCCUUCUGGGGUUCUGUGAAGGCUUCGUUACCUGGGCGUGGCUGAUUAAACCCCUGGCCCAACCCCUCCCCCUCCCGGGAGUUACGGGUGGGGGUGGAAUGAAAGUGACCACCCUGGAAUCGGAUCACAAGGUCGGUCCCCUGGCCACCAGUCCCCUUUCUUAGGUGACCUAGGGGCUUUUCAAAAGUCACCUCAUUAACCUGGCAAGAGAUACUUUCUACUGCUGUCGUAACAGAAAGUCCCAAGGCUUUAGGAGCGCUGAGCUGGGAAUGGGGACCAAGACCGAGUAUAUAUUUAGUAUCACAAAUCACACUGCACAGUGGGAAGCUGGUGACGUUCAAAUGAGGCCUGUGGGUCAGUUAAGAGCCCUGGGUCAACGAUCACAGCCUCCUUUCAAUCACUUCACUCCGAUUUUAUAAGAUUUCAACCCAAGGCGAUCUCCAGGCUGGGGGGACAGCAGUGGCAGGACCUGCACGCCCUCAGGGGCUCGGCGCUGG
This is a non-coding RNA of Vicugna pacos (alpaca), 3662 nucleotides long. Lineage: Eukaryota; Metazoa; Chordata; Mammalia; Artiodactyla; Camelidae. The record is from RefSeq and is a predicted model, not a curated record.